Molecule: transfer RNA, 67 nt
Filed under: Tropostreptus droides
Lineage: Eukaryota; Metazoa; Arthropoda; Diplopoda; Spirostreptida; Spirostreptidae
Also listed under: 1 other name
Description: tRNA-Tyr
Source: RNAcentral
AGUGAUAUGGCCGACCCUAGGCGGAGAACUGUAAAUUCUCUUAUAAUAGCCAGUCUAUUUGUCAUUA